This 759-nucleotide long non-coding RNA is filed under the name Suricata suricatta (meerkat). RNAcentral's name for it is "lncRNA (ENSSSUG00005022947.1)". The record is from RNAcentral. Lineage: Eukaryota; Metazoa; Chordata; Mammalia; Carnivora; Herpestidae.
CUGCCCCCAUGUUACAGAUGACAAGAUGACAGCACAGCAGCAGCAGAUUAUUUAACCAGAGGCUCCAAAGUAGAUGGAACGCAACCACAAGUUCCUUUUUUUCCCCCUGAAGCUCAUUUAGCCAAAACACAGGCUGCUGAAUAUUCGGCUGUGAAGCAUACUAUCAGUGUGUUUAAGGGAGGCCAUUCUUACGUCAUCGCCAAUCAUAUAGCAGGGAGGUUUGAAAUUCUUACAAGAUCAUCUGACCUUGUGAGAUUUACAGCUGUUUUCAAAUGAAGCAAGUCCUUCCAGUAUCAGGUCUUUCCCGAACUCCAGGGGUAAAAGGAGAAAAGAAGAAGAAGAAGAAAAAGGCAGUUCUCCAGCAUGGAUGUGUAUUGUUUGGUGUAGGUAGGUCUGGGGGGAGGGCUGCUCUCCAAGGUCCUGCCUUGGUGGUUGUGGGGAGAAGAAUGGUGGCACCCAAGCCCUUCUCGAACCAAGCAUUGCAAGCCACUCUUUUGAGUCCGAUCUCCCUGUGUCGUGGGUGGGCCAAGUUGUAUUUCCCAAGCCCCUCCUUGUGUCCAAAGCCUAGUCCAUGCAUUUUAAUGCUACCGCCCAAGAUGAGAUGUACUCCCACAGGCAGGUGGCUUCCUAGCCAGGAUUGCAUAGGGGGAGUCAGGGAGCAGUUUUCUCCUGGCUCCACCUGGAAUUGGCAUGCCACCACUGAGCCCAAGGAAAAAUGUGCCAGCCAAAGGGGACGAAUUUCUCUCCCCAUGCCCAGUG